RNAcentral lists this long non-coding RNA (3199 nucleotides) under Medicago truncatula (barrel medic). Its description in RNAcentral is "long non-coding RNA (MTRU_LNC003637)". The record is from RNAcentral. Lineage: Eukaryota; Viridiplantae; Streptophyta; Magnoliopsida; Fabales; Fabaceae.
UUUGUUAGAUGUUAUUUUUUUGGAAUUUUUUUCACAUUAUGCUUUCAAUAAUGCAAAUUAAAAGGUAACCGAGAAAAGGAGAGAAGAGAGAGGAAUUGAGGUAAGUAAAGAAGAGAAAUUCUCAUCACAAAUUAUGCAAGUCACAAAGUCUCUCUAUUGUGGCUUAGUUAACCUUUGCCUCAAGUAACGCCUUGAAUUUCCUAAUCGUAAUUAGCUUUAGGACCCCUUGAGGUACAGUUGUUUCCAACAGCUUUUUAAUUAAACACAUACCAAAAUAAGCUGUUUUUAAUAAUGUAAAUUUUACUAUGUCAUUUGUUAAUUUAGUUGGAAAGCUGCAAUUGUAUUAUGUGAUGUGAGGACCUUGUUUAAUUUGUAGUAUACUUAUCUGACAUUAUAAAUGUUACUAGCCAAAAAAUUAUUACAUUAUUAAUAUGUUUUGAUGCUUAGGUAUAAAAAUUUGAGCCAAAGGCCCAGAAAAAAAAAUAGAAGCCAGAGAGAGAAAGGAACUAAUAAUUAAUAAACCUUGUUACUCUAUAGAAUAUCAUAGAUUAUGCCAUAAAAUAAAACAGUACUACCUAUUAUAGUAAUAUAAAUUUCAGCACAAAUACAAACAUGAUAGAAGCUUACAUAGAUUAAUUUUUAUAUAAAUACCCCCAUUUCUUAUUCUACAAAUGCAGCACAACUCAGGUGCUGCUAGCCAAUAUCUAUAACUCUUCAUUUCUCACCUCAUGUGUUCUUCUGGGUGCUAAAUCAACUAUGCUGCAGGUGCUAUAUCAAUAUCACCAUCAUCGUCGUCUCCUUCACUCUUCCUCUGAGUGCAACAGUUGUUGAAUUGAGUUGCAGCCAAGUCACUUCCCAUGUUUCUCAUGAGAAGAUUUGAUUCCAUGGAACUUAGGACCACCAUUGUAGCACAAAUAUGUUCUAAAGAAUAAAGAGUGUUAAAUUUGGCUGUAAUGUGAAGUAAGUAUGUUGACUCAAGAUGAAGUCAUGAGUCUUCAAAACCACCUUAUUUAUAGACUAAAACGUUUACUCAAAUUUACUGCAGUAAAAAAAAUGGACUUGUAUUCUGUGCAGUUGAGGAGUUUAUGUAAUUGAACAGUUGUUUAAUUUCAACUGUCUGAUGAAGAUAUGAUUGUACAAAUUUAAACUCCAACAAAUUGGCUUUAAAAUGUAGUUGAAACAUCAUUUAUUCAAUGUGAAGUUUAUUCGAAGACAAACCAACGUAGUUGUUCGUAUUUUAAAUAGGACAGCUCUAUCUAUGUUUAAUCUCCAAAAAAAAUUAUAAUGUCACAUAUUGUAUUUUCUUAUAUUAUUUAUGUAUAGUUGAGACAUUCAAUCAUUUUUUUUUUUUAAUAAUCUAGUGACGAAAAUUCCACAAAUUAUUUAUGCAGAAUUGCAAAUUAUCUAAACAUAUUAAAUGUCAUUGCAACUAUCAUUCUAAUAUAAAUGUUCAAUUUUAUUUUAUUGUUGUAAUCAAAUUUGUAUAAGCAGUACUACUAUUGUAGUAAAUGUAUAAUUAUUAUUCUAAUACCUUAUAUGGGGCAGGUUUAACAUAUUUAAGAUUGUCAGAAAGGUAUAUUUGCUUUAUUUGCUUUCUCUACCACAAUUAAGGCACUUUAAUUUUAGUUUUGUUUUCUUGUUAGAGCUAAAACAUUUUUAAGUGUGCAAAGGAGGAAAUGGCUGAGCUGGUGAGGUUUCUACCAUACAAUUUGACAUGAUGGACAGAGAUGGUCCAUAACUUGAGCAAAGCUCAUGGCUUCUUGCUGCACACCACAUUCAACAUGUGGUGUUAUGAGUUUGCACACACGCUUGAGCUUUAUAGUCACAUGCACAUUUUAUAUGACAUGGAUAAUGAUAUAUAGCAAAUAUGCACUCAAAAAGUGAAAUUAACGUAAAUGCCAAAGGGUUUUGUUUUGGCCAAAUGUGGCCUCUUGUAUAGAGGAAAAGAGUUACAACUGUGUAAUGCAUGUGCUUGUUUCAUUUCCUUAAUGACUUUUCAAAUUUCAAAUAGCUAUAUGAAAUUCCAUAUCAUAUAGUUCAAGUUUCACCUUUAAAAAAACUUAAGUUUCUAGUUUUGUGGACUCUAAUGACCUCUCCUACAGAGAUUAAUCUUAUCUUAUCUUACUUAAUAUAAAUCUAAGGUAGUCUGAUAGCUAGGAGGAAAUCCCUAACCCUAAUGACAACCCUAAUACCUUAUUUCCCUCCAAAAUCAUGACAUAAAUGCAGUUUAAUUACUCUGACCCACCAACUAAUUUCACACGUUUUUUUGAGUUUUGAACCACUCAAUACACGCUUCUCAAUGCAUAGAAGAAAGUUAUUUGGAGACUUUCUAGGAUUCAGCUUGCCACUCACACUCAAGAUCAUCUAAAACGUCUAUUUUUUUCUUCCUGGUCGGUCCAUUUCUUCUUUCUUGACAGAUCUCCUCCAUUCCUCUUCUUAUUUUCUAAAAGGAUAUUUUUGCAUCUUUUCAACCGUCCACUCUGAUUUUUCUCCAUUACUCAAACCCCGUACUCACAUCAGACGAAGACGGAGAAGAUCUUUACAGUGGUGACUUUUCAUAAUCAACUCAAAUAAAAAAUUUAUUCGUCGACAAUUAUUAAAUUUGUUAUUUCUCAAUUUCAUAUUCGAUCUGUUCUUUCUAAUUUCAAUUUCGAUUAAAGAUUUCAUUGACGAUUUUGACUGAUGAUUCCUUUGACGAUUUUGAUUUUUGUUUCGUUUAUACUUUAGGGUUUGGAUAGCAUCUCGCACGAUGUUGACAAUGGAUGGAAGAUCAAUGCUGGUAGUUAUAAUUGUGAGCUUUUUAUUCAUUUUUGUAGAAUUAUAUAAUUAUUAUUAUUAUUGUUAUUCCAUUAUGUGUUGAUUCAUCUUCUUUUUGCUUUCUCUCUUAUUUGGUAUCUCGAAAUUAUCCUCUGCAUAAAGAUUGAAUGAUCUACGACAACGAUGAUAUGAGCGUGUUCGAUGUCGGCGUAGAAACAAAAAUUGGGGGUUCAACUGCGGUGUAGAUGCAUAAAUUAGAUAUUGAUGAGAAAAGCUAUUUCCAAAUGUUGUUGGGGUUAUGUAGAUGAUAACAAAUUAUUCAAAUUUAACAAUAGUAUUGUAUUGACUUAUUUGCGUAACAACUAACAAUUGAGUUUUGCGUUGUAAUUUGAUUUGUAAAUCACAUGAUUUUAAUGACAAUGUUUUUCCUUAACCGGCUGCA